This 239-nucleotide ribosomal RNA is filed under the name uncultured bacterium. RNAcentral's name for it is "partial 16S ribosomal RNA". It matches the Rfam family "Bacterial small subunit ribosomal RNA", at positions 95 to 334 of the family's 1533-position model. The record is from RNAcentral.
UUGGCGAACGGGUGAGUAACGCGUGGGUAACCUGCCUCAUACAGGGGGAUAACAGUUAGAAAUGACUGCUAAUACCGCAUAAGACCACGGAGCCGCAUGGCUCAGUGGGAAAAACUCCGGUGGUAUGAGAUGGACCCGCGUCUGAUUAGGUAGUUGGUGGGGUAACGGCCUACCAAGCCAACGAUCAGUAGCCGACCUGAGAGGGUGACCGGCCACAUUGGGACUGAGACACGGCCCAA